Molecule: long non-coding RNA, 696 nt
Organism: Brassica napus (rape)
Lineage: Eukaryota; Viridiplantae; Streptophyta; Magnoliopsida; Brassicales; Brassicaceae
Exons: 2
Source: RefSeq, a predicted model, not a curated record
CUAAAAGGCAAAUAAUCUCAUCGCUGAGACCCUCCACGUCAGAUAAAAUAAUCGUCCAAUAAGACAUGUUCUUUUCUCCACGUCGGACAUUGCUUGGGCUGGUAUUGGGCUGAUAUUUUUCAAUCUGUCAAAAUAUAAGAAACAUAUGGAUCAAGAGUCCAGAUCAAAGAGAACGGAGAAUGACGACAUCUCAUCACUUCGCUCUUGGAUAACCCUAAAACGGCCAGCCGACGAAUCUCUUCGACAUUCCAUCUCACCUCUGCGCAUGGCGACCAAGUGAUGUUCUUCAGAGAUGCUUCACUCCGUCCACGCGAAGCCAAGUUGAAGUUUCGUCUGAUUCACAUCGGGGAGGCUCGAAAUCCAAAGUCGAAGAUCCUUAUUGGACAAGAGAUUCUCCUUAUCGACGAAGAGGGAACGGUUAUUUAUCUACCGCCACCUCCGUGAGUGGUCGCUCUGGAGCUAUUUGCGUAGGAAAUCGCGCCUUUCCGUUUUGCUCAGCCUUUGAGUUCUCUCCUCUUCCUGUGUUAACGUGUUCCUCUUCUUGGUGUCUCUGUUUCUCAUAUCUGCUAUUGUUGAUUUUGUCUAGAAGCAGCAGGUCUAUUCUAAGUUGCUGCGUCCGAGUUUCAUUACGGUCCAAACCAUGUCAGAGUCUCAGACAGCUCUAAAGAAUCAGCCACAGUCCUCGGCCUCCUCUGG